RNAcentral lists this long non-coding RNA (415 nucleotides) under Elaeis guineensis (African oil palm). Its description in RNAcentral is "long non-coding RNA (EGUI_LNC003722)". The record is from RNAcentral. Lineage: Eukaryota; Viridiplantae; Streptophyta; Magnoliopsida; Arecales; Arecaceae.
ACAUAUAUUCAAUAGAUUUCCAUGUUACCAAACCAUAAAUCAUGGUCAUUCUAAAUUGAGUAUCCACAUGGUCUAUCAUGAUCUACAUCAUACAAAUUGCCAAGAAACCAAAAAUUGGAUGUUUUGGAAGCCUCUUGCCCAUACAUCAAAUGGGCACAUACAUCGAAGGUUGUGAUGGUAUUACUGUGCCAAACUACAUCAUACGGCAGAUAAAUUAGUUGAUCAUGAUCUACACCUCAUGAAUCAAACAUGUACCAAUAUUCAAUAGAUUUGCAUGUUUCCAAACCAUAUAUCAUGCAAAACAUCAUAUCGAGCCAUUAAAACAAUAUAUUUUCGGACCACUUGAUGGACGCGCAAGAGACAUGAUUUUUGGUUUCAAAGUAGUUCUUGUGAUAUGGACCAUAAGCAAUAGAAC